AGCCCCGUGGUGUAGUGGUCAAUCAUACUGGCCUUUGGAGCCAGUGUCGGCAGUUCGAAUCUGCCCGGGGCUA
RNAcentral lists this transfer RNA (73 nucleotides) under Thermoplasmata archaeon. RNAcentral's name for it is "tRNA-Gln". It matches the Rfam family "tRNA". Rfam says of the family: Transfer RNA (tRNA) molecules are approximately 80 nucleotides in length. Lineage: Archaea; Methanobacteriati; Thermoplasmatota; Thermoplasmata. The record is from RNAcentral.